GGAAACCACAGGCCCCGGCCCCGGCCCCGGCCCCGCCCAGCGCCGAAGUCUCCGUCAUGCCCCCUGUGCCCGCCUGCGGCACCUGCCCGCCCUGACCUGGGCUGAGAGGCAUUUUCCCCAGUGGGCUGUAGCUCGCGAAAGCUUAUGCUCCCAGAAACGUGUUAGUCUCUAAGGUGCCACGAGUCCUCCUCCUUCUCUUUCUUUCUGCCACUACAGACUAACAGGGCUGCUACUCUGAAACCGAGCUCUAGCUAGUGAGUCAGCGGUAACUUUCCUUGUGGCUUGUACAGGAGCGCAGCUGCAGUCCAGGGCUGCCUUCGGCUUGGCACUAGGCCCACGCCAAGCUGGAGGAGCUUCCCUAACCCCCCCAGGAAUACCCAGGGCAUGUAAAUCCCCAGUGACCGCAAUGUUGCCCUGGAAUCCUUGAAUGUGAGUAGAGAGGAGUCCGUAUACUCACUGAAGAGCUUGGAUCCUUCAAGCACCUCUCUUAGAAGACCGGAGAACUUGAGCCAGGACACACUCAUGAUCACAGCUGUGGCCAUGUACCUGGAGGCUGUGUUGAUGGCAUCUAGGGCAGCUUAGAGGGAGCUUUUUGAGAUUAACUGCACAUACAAGAUGGGCUAAAAUUGCUCUCUUUGGACUUGUGGGAGGUGGUAAAUAAAAUGUGUAAAUUUUGA
This is a long non-coding RNA of Dermochelys coriacea (leatherback sea turtle), 677 nucleotides long. RefSeq lists it as uncharacterized. Lineage: Eukaryota; Metazoa; Chordata; Testudines; Dermochelyidae. The record is from RefSeq and is a predicted model, not a curated record. The transcript has 2 exons.